AGCGCCCGUGUAAAAUAGUAUAGCCGUGCGGCUAUAAGUUAAAAAAUAUUUAAAAACUGAGUAUAGCCGUUCGGCUAUACUAUUUUUAAUAUAAAAA
Molecule: microRNA precursor, 97 nt
Filed under: Prunus dulcis (almond)
Lineage: Eukaryota; Viridiplantae; Streptophyta; Magnoliopsida; Rosales; Rosaceae
Description: sRNA ncRNA
Source: RNAcentral